Molecule: ribosomal RNA, 253 nt
Filed under: uncultured bacterium
Lineage: Bacteria
Description: partial 16S ribosomal RNA
Rfam family: Bacterial small subunit ribosomal RNA
Source: RNAcentral
GACAGAGGGUGCAAACGUUGUUCGGAAUUACUGGGCGUAAAGCGUGUGUAGGCGGCUACGCAAGUCGGAUGUGAAAGCCCCGGGCUCAACCCGGGAAGUGCACCCGAAACUGCGUGGCUUGAGUACCGGAGAGGUUGGUGGAAUUCUCGGUGUAGAGGUGAAAUUCGUAGAUAUCGAGAGGAACACCGGUGGCGAAGGCGGCCAACUGGACGAGUACUGACGCUCAGACUCGAAAGCGUGGGGAGCGAAACGG